GACGAACGCUGGCGGCGUGCUUAACACAUGCCCCCCCAACGGAAAGGCCCUGCUUUUGUGGGGUGCUCGAGUGGCGAACGGGUGAGUAACACGUGAGUAACCUGCCCUUGACUUUGGGAUAACUUCAGGAAACUGGGGCUAAUACCGGAUAGGAGCUCCUGCUGCAUGGUGGGGGUUGGAAAGUUUCGGCGGUUGGGGAUGGACUCGCGGCUUAUCAGCUUGUUGGUGGGGUAGUGGCUUACCAAGGCUUUGACGGGUAGCCGGCCUGAGAGGGUGACCGGCCACAUUGGGACUGAGAUACGGCCCAGACUCCUACGGGAGGCAGCAGUGGGGAAUAUUGCACAAUGGGCGGAAGCCUGAUGCAGCAACGCCGCGUGCGGGAUGACGGCCUUCGGGUUGUAAACCGCUUUCGCCUGUGACGAAGCGUGAGUGACGGUAAUGGGUAAAGAAGCACCGGCUAACUACGUG
This 468-nucleotide ribosomal RNA is filed under the name uncultured bacterium. Its description in RNAcentral is "partial 16S ribosomal RNA". It matches the Rfam family "Bacterial small subunit ribosomal RNA", at positions 28 to 507 of the family's 1533-position model. The record is from RNAcentral.